UACGGGAGGCAGCAGUGGGGAAUCUUCCGCAAUGGGCGAAAGCCUGACGGAGCAACGCCGCGUGAGCGAAGACGGCCUUCGGGUUGUAAAGCUCUGUUAUACGGGACGAACGGGGCAGAGGUUAAUACCCUUUGUCAGUGACGGUACCGUAAGAGAAAGCCACGGCUAACUACGUGCCAGCAGCCGCGGUAAUACGUAGGUGGCAAGCGUUGUCCGGAAUUAUUGGGCGUAAAGGGCGCGCAGGCGGU
RNAcentral lists this ribosomal RNA (248 nucleotides) under Megasphaera stantonii. RNAcentral's name for it is "partial 16S ribosomal RNA". It matches the Rfam family "Bacterial small subunit ribosomal RNA", at positions 340 to 579 of the family's 1533-position model. Lineage: Bacteria; Bacillati; Bacillota; Negativicutes; Veillonellales; Veillonellaceae. The record is from RNAcentral.